RNAcentral lists this ribosomal RNA (968 nucleotides) under uncultured Gammaproteobacteria bacterium. Its description in RNAcentral is "bacterial SSU rRNA". It matches the Rfam family "Bacterial small subunit ribosomal RNA", at positions 544 to 1512 of the family's 1533-position model. Lineage: Bacteria; Pseudomonadati; Pseudomonadota; Gammaproteobacteria. The record is from RNAcentral.
AUCGGAUUACUGGGCGUAAGCGUACGCAGGCGGUUAGUUAAGUCNUAUGUGAAAGCCCCGGGCUCAACCUGGGAACUGCAUUUGAAACUGGCUAACUAGAGUGCGGCAGAGGGUGGUAGAAUUUCAGGUGUAGCGGUGAAAUGCGUAGAGAUCUGAAGGAAUACCGAUGGCGAAGGCAGCCACCUGGGCCGACACUGACGCUCAUGUACGAAAGCGUGGGUAGCAAACAGGAUUAGAUACCCUGGUAGUCCACGCCGUAAACGAUGUCUACUAGCAGCUCGCCUCGUUAGAGGGGUUUUGCGCAGCUAACGCGUUAAGUAGACCGCCUGGGGAGUACGGCCGCAAGGUUAAAACUCAAAUGAAUUGACGGGGGCCCGCACAAGCGGUGGAGCAUGUGGUUUAAUUCGAUGCAACGCGAAGAACCUUACCAUCCCUUGACAUCCAGAGAAUUUUCUAGAGAUAGAUUAGUGCCUUCGGGAACUCUGAGACAGGUGCUGCAUGGCUGUCGUCAGCUCGUGUUGUGAAAUGUUGGGUUAAGUCCCGCAACGAGCGCAACCCUUAUCCUUAGUUGCUAGCAGUUAGGCUGAGAACUCUAAGGAGACUGCCGGUGACAAACCGGAGGAAGGUGGGGACGACGUCAAGUCAUCAUGGCCCUUACGGGAUGGGCUACACACGUGCUACAAUGGCAAGUACAAAGGGUUGCAAACUCGCGAGAGUAAGCGGAUCCCAUAAAGCUUGUCGUAGUCCGGAUUGGAGUCUGCAACUCGACUCCAUGAAGUCGGAAUCGCUAGUAAUCGUAGAUCAGAAUGCUACGGUGAAUACGUUCCCGGGCCUUGUACACACCGCCCGUCACACCAUGGGAGUGGGCUGCAAAAGAAGUGGGUAGUUUAACCUUCGGGAGGACGCUCACCACUUUGUGGUUCAUGACUGGGGUGAAGUCGUAACAAGGUAACCGUAAAGGGCGAAUU